ACGCUCGACACCUACGGGAGCAGCAGUGGGGAAUAUUGCACAAUGGGGGAAACCCUGAUGCAGCGACGCCGCGUGAGCGAAGAAGUAUUUCGGUAUGUAAAGCUCUAUCAGCAGGGAAGAAAGUGACGGUACCUGACUAAGAAGCACCGGCUAAAUACGUGCCAGCAGCCGCGGUAAUCUGAGCGGGCUGGCAAGGC
Molecule: ribosomal RNA, 197 nt
Filed under: uncultured bacterium
Lineage: Bacteria
Description: partial 16S ribosomal RNA
Rfam family: Bacterial small subunit ribosomal RNA
Source: RNAcentral